GAGGGUUGCUCUGACCCAACCCGAUGACACCAACCAACCCCGUAAUGGGGAGUUCCCCUAUGGGGAACCCUCGCACUUCAGUGCGGGGAGGAGGUCAGUCAAAUGUAUUC
This 110-nucleotide small RNA is filed under the name Archaeoglobus profundus DSM 5631. RNAcentral describes it as "HgcC family RNA". It matches the Rfam family "HgcC family RNA". From Rfam's summary of the family: The HgcC ncRNA gene was identified computationally in AT-rich hyperthermophiles. The genes were named hgcA through hgcG ("high GC"). HgcC is of unknown function. Lineage: Archaea; Methanobacteriati; Methanobacteriota; Archaeoglobi; Archaeoglobales; Archaeoglobaceae. The record is from Rfam by way of RNAcentral.